GACGAACGCUGGCGGCGUGCUUAACACAUGCAAGUCGAACGGAAAGGCCCUGCUCUUGUGGGGUGCUCGAGUGGCGAACGGGUGAGUAACACGUGAGUAUCCUGCCCUUGACUUUGGGAUAACUUCAGGAAACUGGGGCUAAUACCGGAUAGGAGCUCCUGCUGCAUGGUGGUGGUUGGAGAGUUUCGGCGGUUGGGGCUGGUCUCGCGGCUUAUCCGCUAGUUAGUGGGGUAGUUGCUUACCAAGGCUUUGACGGAUAGCCCGCCUUAGAGGGGGGCCAGCCACAUGAGGACUGCGAGACGCACCAGACGCCAACGUGAGGCAGCAGUGGGAAAUAUUGCGCAAUGGCCGGAAGCCAGAGGCAACGACGCCGGGUGCGGGAUGACGGCCUACGGGUGAUAAACAGCUUUGGACGGAACCAAAGCGUUAGUGACGGUAAUGAGUAAAGAAGCACCGGCUAACUACGUG
Molecule: ribosomal RNA, 468 nt
Filed under: uncultured bacterium
Lineage: Bacteria
Description: partial 16S ribosomal RNA
Rfam family: Bacterial small subunit ribosomal RNA
Source: RNAcentral